AUACGAGGGGUGCAAGCGUUAAUCGGAAUUACUGGGCGUAAAGCGUUCGUAGGCGGUUUGUUAAGCAAGAUGUGAAAGCCCUGGGCUCAACCUGGGAACUGCAUUUUGAACUGGCAAGCUAGAAUACUGUAGAGGGUGGUGGAAUUUCCAGUGUAGCGGUGAAAUGCGUAGAGAUUGGAAGGAACAUCGGUGGCGAAGGCGGCCACCUGGACAGAUAUUGACGCUGAGGAACGAAAGCGUGGGGAGCGAACAGGAUUAGAAACCCCAGUAGUCC
Molecule: ribosomal RNA, 274 nt
Filed under: uncultured bacterium
Lineage: Bacteria
Description: partial 16S ribosomal RNA
Rfam family: Bacterial small subunit ribosomal RNA
Source: RNAcentral